RNAcentral lists this ribosomal RNA (670 nucleotides) under Escherichia coli. Its description in RNAcentral is "partial 23S ribosomal RNA". It matches the Rfam family "Bacterial large subunit ribosomal RNA", at positions 612 to 1282 of the family's 2925-position model. Lineage: Bacteria; Pseudomonadati; Pseudomonadota; Gammaproteobacteria; Enterobacterales; Enterobacteriaceae. The record is from RNAcentral.
AUAAUGGGUCAGCGACUUAUAUUCUGUAGCAAGGUUAACCGAAUAGGGGAGCCGAAGGGAAACCGAGUCUUAACUGGGCGUUAAGUUGCAGGGUAUAGACCCGAAACCCGGUGAUCUAGCCAUGGGCAGGUUGAAGGUUGGGUAACACUAACUGGAGGACCGAACCGACUAAUGUUGAAAAAUUAGCGGAUGACUUGUGGCUGGGGGUGAAAGGCCAAUCAAACCGGGAGAUAGCUGGUUCUCCCCGAAAGCUAUUUAGGUAGCGCCUCGUGAAUUCAUCUCCGGGGGUAGAGCACUGUUUCGGCAAGGGGGUCAUCCCGACUUACCAACCCGAUGCAAACUGCGAAUACCGGAGAAUGUUAUCACGGGAGACACACGGCGGGUGCUAACGUCCGUCGUGAAGAGGGAAACAACCCAGACCGCCAGCUAAGGUCCCAAAGUCAUGGUUAAGUGGGAAACGAUGUGGGAAGGCCCAGACAGCCAGGAUGUUGGCUUAGAAGCAGCCAUCAUUUAAAGAAAGCGUAAUAGCUCACUGGUCGAGUCGGCCUGCGCGGAAGAUGUAACGGGGCUAAACCAUGCACCGAAGCUGCGGCAGCGACACUAUGUGUUGUUGGGUAGGGGAGCGUUCUGUAAGCCUGUGAAGGUGUACUGUGAGGUAUGCUGGAGGUAU